UUGAUCCUGGCUCAGAAUCAACGCUGGCGGCGUGCCUCAGACAUGCAAGUCGAACGCGAAAGUCCCCUUCGGGGGAUGAGUAGAGUGGCGCACGGGUGAUUAACACGUAGGUAAUCUACCUUCGGGUGGGGAAUAACCCAGGGAAACUUUGGCUAAUACCGCAUAAUGCAGCGGCACCACAUGGUGACAGUUGUUAAAGUGGGGGAUCUUCGGAUCUCGCGCCUGAAGAGGAGCCUGCGGCAGAUUAGCUAGUUGGUAAGGUAACGGCUUACCAAGGCGACGAUCUGUAGCCGGCCUGAUAGGGCGGUCGGCCACACUGACACUGACAUACGGGUCAGACUCCUACGGGUGGCAGCAGUCGGGAAUUUUGGGCAAUGGGCGAAAGCCUGACCCAGCAACUCCGCGUGAAGGAUGAAAUCCUUCGGGAUGUAAACUUCGCAAGAGUGGGAUGAAUUAGUAGGGGCUAAUACCCCCUAUGAUGACGGUACCAUUUGUAAGCUCCGGCUAACUCCGUGCCAGCAGCCGCGGUAAUAAGGGCGU
Molecule: ribosomal RNA, 540 nt
Filed under: uncultured Acidobacteriota bacterium
Lineage: Bacteria; Pseudomonadati; Acidobacteriota
Description: bacterial SSU rRNA
Rfam family: Bacterial small subunit ribosomal RNA
Source: RNAcentral